Molecule: ribosomal RNA, 253 nt
Filed under: uncultured bacterium
Lineage: Bacteria
Description: partial 16S ribosomal RNA
Rfam family: Bacterial small subunit ribosomal RNA
Source: RNAcentral
UACAGAGGUCUCAAGCGUUGUUCGGAUUCAUUGGGCGUAAAGGGUGCGUAGGUGGCGUGGUAAGUCGGGUGUGAAAUCUCGGAGCUUAACUCCGAAAUUGCAUUCGAUACUGCCGUGCUUGAGGACUGGAGAGGAGACUGGAAUUCAUGGUGUAGCAGUGAAAUGCGUAGAGAUCAUGAGGAAGACCAGUGGCGAAGGCGGGUCUCUGGACAGUUCCUGACACUGAGGCACGAAGGCCAGGGGAGCAAACGGG